CACGUAGGCGGAUAGGUCAGUCAGAUGUGAAAGCCCGGAGCUUAACUCCGGAACUGCAUUUGAUACUACUUGUCUUGAGUAUGGUAGAGGGGGGUGGAAUUCCCGGUGUAGAGGUGAAAUUCGUAGAUAUCGGGAGGAACACCAGAGGCGAAGGCGACCCCUGGGCCAUAACUGACGCUGAGGUGCGAAAGCGUGGGGAGCAAACA
Molecule: ribosomal RNA, 206 nt
Filed under: uncultured bacterium
Lineage: Bacteria
Description: partial 16S ribosomal RNA
Rfam family: Bacterial small subunit ribosomal RNA
Source: RNAcentral